This 23-nucleotide microRNA is filed under the name Oreochromis niloticus (Nile tilapia). RNAcentral describes it as "oni-miR-10618". Lineage: Eukaryota; Metazoa; Chordata; Actinopteri; Cichliformes; Cichlidae. The record is from miRBase by way of RNAcentral.
UAGACUGAACCAGCGUGGCUUCC